RNA transcript from Esox lucius (northern pike), 2178 nucleotides. It is a transcript of the gene named T-lymphocyte activation antigen CD80, with no coding region annotated. Lineage: Eukaryota; Metazoa; Chordata; Actinopteri; Esociformes; Esocidae. The record is from RefSeq and is a predicted model, not a curated record. The transcript is spliced from 7 exons.
GAAAAAAGUUGACACCCAUGAUUUUCACUUAUUCCGCGUUUUGCUUUCAAGCUGGGUAGACGCACACAUUAAAUCUUGUCCGGAGAAAAUGGGAACGUACAAAACACCCUCCCUGCAAUGCACUGUGCUGGGGUUAACAGCAAUCUUAAUCUCUGCCUCAGGGUCUCCAAUGCAAGUAACUGUGGGUCAGAGUGUCCUUUUUUCCUGCCCCUGCACCUGUCAAGACAGACAACCAGUAAAAUACUUUCAUUGGCAACAAAACGUAAAAAUCCUGUCAUAUCAAGAGGACAAGCUAAAAAUCGAGAAAGGAUAUGAAGACAGGGUCACCAUCUUUACAAAUGAAGACAAGGAAAACUGUUCCCUGAGUCUCUCUAAUAUCAAUGUUGGAGACAAUGGAACAUACCGGUGCUACUUUGAGUGCAGUGCUUUGGAUUACAAAUUUAUAGAUUUAAAUGUGGUUGCCAACUACAGUGUUUGUAUGAACCCUGUUCAAAACCAGGAUACUGUGGGAUCUAAUGGAAAAAAGGAGUACCAGUGCAAAGCCUCAGAUGGCUACCCAAGGGGCCGGAUUUACUGGGAAGUGGAUGGGCGCCCUCAGAAUGGAAGCUCGAUGGAGAUUCACAAGGACAACUCUACAGGCCUCUACACUCUGACCAGUAAUCUGGCCAUUGAGCUUAACAAGGGUGUAGAACUACUGUGUGUGGUGGAGCACAAAGGCCAGGUCUAUCACACCAGCUCCCAUUCUAUGUGCACCAACAAGCCUGAUGGCUGCACAUCACCAGCAGAUGACAUGGCACCCAAAAUCGUCACAGACUGUGGAAACGUCACACUGGACUUCAAGCAACUUGGAUUCUCUGCCUCUCCACUCUUCCUCCAGGCUCUGGGACCUUGAUUUACAAAUUAAAUGUGAAAUUUAUGUUUGUCUGAGGAGAGGACUUUGGACCACUGAGCAUCGGUCCAGUUCUUUUUCUCCUUCGCCCAGAGGCUUUUAUCGGACCUGCAGUAGGGGUGUCUGUGGGGAUGUCUGUGGGGGUGGUUGUGGUGAUUGUUGCAGGAGUUCUCUUGAUGUUCCUACUGACUAGACCCCACCGACAUGGAAUAUCCCCGAUGUUUUUUUUUAAGCAGCAGAGUGACACAGAGAUUCAGGACAUUGAAAUAGCUGUGUCGUUAAAAGCAGAUGACGCUUGACUUUGUGGAUUCUCUACUUCCUUUGGCGCAUAAGAAAAUGGAGGAAUAAUCACUUGCAACCAGAGGAACUGAAACUUUCACUGCAGCAGUAUUGAGCAAUGUGUCGUUCCAUCAUGUGUGAAGUAUUCAGGGGCGAAAAAAGGCCUACAGCACCUGAAAGUUGUUCAUAUGGAUUUGCUUUAGUUUGAAUGUAGCCCCCAAGUAAUGAAUAUUAUGGCCAUGGUGGCAAGGUUAGAAAGGAGCAGCACGAUGAGAGAAAUGACUGGUCAAUGGACUGAACUGGCUAGACUUGCCUGAAUUAAGCUGGCAGACAUCCAUCAUGUUGGCCAAAGUCAGCUUGAGCCUGUAAAUUGCCACUGUAGAGUUGAGUAGGUGUUUUCACAAUGAAGGGAAACAUUCAACGUAGUUUUAUAUUUACAACUAUGAACUAAUCAUGUCAACGUUUCUAUAUUACUCCAGGUUCACUGUGUUGGUCAAAUGGAGAUAUUUGUGGUCUGAAUAAAGAAACCCCUUCUAAAUGUCAAACUGCUGUGGGGGAUCCCCAGGCCUACUGCUGAAACCUUUCAGAAUAGACUGGUUGCAAUUAGAGAGAAUCUGCAUCAGGAAGUCACCACUUCCUAAACCUUUUGAAUCAAGUGUUUUAUUCAAUGUAUUUGUUUUUACCUUAGGCCAACUAAAUUAUUUUUACAUACCAGUCUGUUCCUAUGUGAAUUGAAUUUAAAUGUGAAAUCAAGAUUGUUUGUUGCAAGGCUUCCACUUGCAAAUGUCAAACUAAUCCUCUGCAGCUGUAUGCCUGCUGUAUAACAGAGCCCAUUUUGUUUUAUUAACCAUAUUGGUUGGGGAAAGAAAACAAUGUUUAGUUUGGGGGGGAACUUUUUUACUGAGACUUGACUAACCAAUCCAAGCUCCAAAUGUUUUUAUACCGCUUUUAUACCACUUCUAUUAAGUGACUGUACCAAGACCGACUUAAUAAAAAGUGUAUGUGGGGUG